AUUUUUUUAGUUUAUAAUGGUUUUAUGAAAAUAUUAGCAUGGAUAUUAUUUUUUAUGACAAACUGCUAAUCUAUUAAUCAACAUGCAUGUUGCAUGUUAAAUUUCCCUUAUAUGUCACCCUUAUUAUCUUUGUUAUAUAUGCCACAUACAAUAAUACUUUUUAGAUCUGGCUUUGAAUUCAUAGUUCUUUAUUUUGUCUCAAAAUAAGGCGUGAGAUUUAUGAUUCUUAUAUUAAGAACCAUGAGAGCAUGUAAGACGCUAUUUGAUUAAGAACCAAGAAUUGUUCUUUACACCAGUGUCGAUCCUAAGAUAGUUACAGGCAGGUUAUAUCUGAAUGGCACUUCUGCGGCACGUAUUUACUUUGACUCUGAGACAGCUGCAAGAAAACAGGUGUUUGACAGCAGUGGCGGAGCUAAAAAAAAUUUCAACCGGGCCUGCAUUUCACUAGCAUUGCUCAUAGACGGUGCCUCAUCUCUUGACGAAGUAGUGGUUCGUGCUGCAUCCAUUGGAGGUCCUCCAUGGUGAGCAUAGCCACCAUAGAAAUUAUGCGGGACAUUAGCUCCUGGAGGUCUGAAGUUGUGUCUUGGAGUCCAGUCUUUGCUCUCUCUCGCUGAUUCCAUCUUUGAGCGUUUGAAGAGCUUGGCGGUUAAAUCUCUGGACAUUGUAAAGCUCGACGAUUUUGUCGUAGUUCUCACCCCACCACCGCUGAGCUUGCCACUUGUCGAAAAUCUCCCGGCUUUCCGAACAUGACACAAGUAAUGCGGAUCCGUUUAAGAUCAUUUCCUCCGGUGGGAAGCGAAGCGAAUGUGAUAUGGACACCUGGUUCUACUUGAGCCAUCCACUCUUUAGGCCCUUCUUCAUCUAGUGCCACAUCACAAGACUGAGCAGAUAUAGAUUCCCU
Molecule: long non-coding RNA, 901 nt
Organism: Raphanus sativus (radish)
Lineage: Eukaryota; Viridiplantae; Streptophyta; Magnoliopsida; Brassicales; Brassicaceae
Exons: 5
Source: RefSeq, a predicted model, not a curated record